RNAcentral lists this ribosomal RNA (229 nucleotides) under uncultured bacterium. Its description in RNAcentral is "partial 16S ribosomal RNA". It matches the Rfam family "Bacterial small subunit ribosomal RNA", at positions 568 to 796 of the family's 1533-position model. The record is from RNAcentral.
UGCGCAGGCGGAAUAUUAAGUCAGUGGUGAAAGCCUACAGCUCAACUGUAGAACUGCCAUUGAAACUGAUAUUCUUGAGUAUAGUUGUAGUGGGCGGAAUAUAGCAUGUAGCGGUGAAAUGCUUAGAUAUGCUAUAGAACACCGAUCGCGAAGGCAGCUCACUAAACUAUAACUGACGCUCAGGCACGAAAGCGUGGGGAGCAAACAGGAUUAGAUACCCUGGUAGUCC